RNAcentral lists this long non-coding RNA (1467 nucleotides) under Olea europaea (common olive). RNAcentral's name for it is "long non-coding RNA (OEUR_LNC011363)". Lineage: Eukaryota; Viridiplantae; Streptophyta; Magnoliopsida; Lamiales; Oleaceae. The record is from RNAcentral.
UGAAUUAUGUAGUCCAUCUUGCUCAUUUAUACCAAGGAGAUUAUGAUGACAUCCUACUCGGUACAUUUUAUUUCAAGAUGAUCAAAAGUCCAAAAUUUGCAUAUGUUGUAUAAUCCCCUGUUUGGUUUAGCUAAAAAUUAGAAGUCGAUAAAAUAUGUGGUUGAAAAGUAGAUAAAAGUUGUGAGUCCCAUAAAAUGUGUGGUUGAAAAUGAAUUUUUGAAAAAGAGGGCCAAACAGGGGAUAAAUAAUCUGUGAUCGUGUUUAUCCUUUAGAAGGUCUUGUCAACUUGCUUAGGGCUUUCAUUGUACUUCCUUUUAAUCUCCUAUAACUCAAAUCACUACAUUCUUUCCUUGUAGGCAUUAUGCAUAGCUGGAUCAUCAGUUCCUAGGCAUGUAAAUGGUGUUCCAGGGAGCAGAGCUGACAUGAUCAUCUCAGUGAGUGAUUAUUCACAGUUUACCCAUUUAAUGCUUGUCAAACUUUCAUCUCUCUGAUUUCCCUUUUCUUGGUGAUGGAACAUGGUUAUAUAUGUUAUAAUUUUCUUUAAAUAUAUUUUCUUCCAUCUGAAGUACUAAGGUCCUGUGGCGCUUCCUUCUGAGCUGUAUGCAAAUGAUCCCACCUCUGUAUUUUUUAUUUCAGGUUAUUGUGAAGCAAGCUGGUCUAAAGCUACAAGAGAAUGUAAAUUAUCUUUAAUAAUUUUACUAUUUCUUCUUUUUAUAUGUAAUAUAUCUUUCUUGGACAUUUAAGCCUUUUUCUUUACUUAGAUUUUCCUUUUUCUGGGUGAUGGCCUGCAGAAAUUGAAUAAAUGCUUUAGAAGCUACAGAUACCCAGACAAUUUCAUGAACUUCCUUACCCAAGCAUUAAGAAGUGAUAAUAUGAACUUUCUUAAUCUUACUCAACUUUAUUCAUGUAAUUGGAAAUUUAAUCUUGAAGCUCAAAUUGUUUGCAUGGGAGGCUGUAAUCUUCUUAAAGUUUACAAAUUGGAAAUAGAUGUUUGACUAUAUGCAUGAACUGGUUGCUUCUGAAUUUAUAUUUCACCAUAUCUUAUUGGAUCAAAAUAUUUCUACUCAUUCAUCUCAUUGAUCUGACCAUUUAAUGGUUAGGUACAAUAGAUCAGGCGGGAAAUCUAAGCUUUACAGUCUGUACUAUACUUUUGGUCACCACGUACAUGUUUGGAAAAAAUAUGUCAUUUAAUACUCAAGCAAACUGGAUCUUGGUAGUGUAUGGACCUAUAUGCCUAGUCGUGAAAAUAAUGACACUGUACUUGGGAAGAUGUUCAUAAUAUUGGUUUGAUGAUAAUAUAGCUGCAUUGUCGAUCUUAAUUUGUUAUACCUGCUUCUGAAAUUUUGUUUCUUUUUGUACCAAUUCUUGCUAUCCUUCAUUUAUUUUGAUUUUCCUGUUUCAAUUAUUAGCAUUUCCUAAUUGUUAUACCUGCUUCUGAAAUUUUGUUUCUCUUGUACCAAUUCUUGC